GCUUUUGAUCAUGAAAUUACCUAUGAUUUUAAUUGAUGAGCAGUUAUGAUAAUUGAACGAGUGAGAAUGUAAUUGCUCAAAGAUUUAAAAAUGGUACUUUGCAUUGGCAUGCUGCAUCUGCAUUGGAUUUUCCUUUCUAGUUAUAUUUGUUAAUUUCUUUGCAGUUAUAGCGUUUGUCAAUAUCAGAGAUAUGAAUUCAUUUCAUUGUAGUUGAAUGCCCUAAAACAUCUUUUGAAUUGUUGAAGCCUUAAAUUUGUGUAACACCAGGAACCAGCAAAUAGAGUUUAUAUUAAUUUGUA
This 299-nucleotide unclassified non-coding RNA is filed under the name Hevea brasiliensis (rubber tree). Lineage: Eukaryota; Viridiplantae; Streptophyta; Magnoliopsida; Malpighiales; Euphorbiaceae. The record is from RNAcentral.